CCUACGGGGGGCAGCAGUGGGGAAUAUUGCGCAAUGGGCGAAAGCCUGACGCAGCGACGCCGCGUGAGGGAUGAAGGUCUUCGGAUCGUAAACCUCUGUCAGCAGGGAAGAACGGUCACUGUGCUAAUCAGCAGUGAAUUGACGGUACCUGCAAAGGAAGCACCGGCUAACUCCGUGCCAGCAGCCGCGGUAAUACGGAGGGUGCGAGCGUUAAUCGGAAUUACUGGGCGUAAAGCGCUCGUAGGCGGUAUGUCAAGUCAAGGGGGAAAUCCCCGCGCUCAACGUGGGAACUGCCUUUGAAACUGGCAAACUGGAGUGUGUGAGAGGAUAGUGGAAGUCCAGGUGUAGGAGUGAAAUCCGUAGAUAUCGGGAGGAACAUCAGUGGCGAAGGCGACUAUCUGGCACAUAACUGACGCUGAGGAGCGAAAGCGUGGGUAGCAAACAGGAUUAGAUACCCUGGUAGUC
RNAcentral lists this ribosomal RNA (465 nucleotides) under uncultured bacterium. RNAcentral's name for it is "partial 16S ribosomal RNA". It matches the Rfam family "Bacterial small subunit ribosomal RNA", at positions 338 to 795 of the family's 1533-position model. The record is from RNAcentral.